Molecule: long non-coding RNA, 6943 nt
Organism: Paramisgurnus dabryanus
Lineage: Eukaryota; Metazoa; Chordata; Actinopteri; Cypriniformes; Cobitidae
Source: RefSeq, a predicted model, not a curated record
CCUCUGCCGGUCAAAACUUUAAUUUCUUUAGGUUUUUCUCUAAUCAGCAAAAUGUGGAUUUCAACACCUAAAACCUAGAUCACUAUCCAGAAACAAUUUAAAUUAAAGUGGCGUAAUAACUAAUUCAGUUUUGUUCAGUUCUCUGCAAUGAGUGUGCUAUCCUGUUAGAUACAAUAAUGUCAGCAAGAUGGUUCGUUUGUAUUUUACUUCAGGUUUGCUUUCCGGCGUCUGAACUUGUUGCUGCUUCUCCCGUGUCAAUUCGAAGGCAAUGACUGAAUGAAUAAAUUUCUGUAACGUUGGUUGUGAUUGGUGACGUGCAUUGCGCUCACGUAGCCUGUAAGUAGCGGGUAAAGUCUGCGCAUGUUUAAUAAACACACAGGGGCUACUUUCAAGCACAGGGCUCUGAAAAGUGACAACACAAUUCAAGAUGCGGCUGCACAUGAUAUGUACAAUAGUAAAGUCAGUGGUUUGGCCACGCUGACCCCCCCCCCCCCCCAAUACAUCUGUUUGCAUGCCUGGGUCUAUCAAAAAGCUUUUGAUUACUUUUUUCUGGGUUGUCUCAAGAUAUAACAUACCAAAGGUCAUGCAAAUUGGACAAAUGCUCCAGGUGAAAAAUUUACAUUCACAAAUAUAAAUAACACAGAGGAAAAAUAAAGAUAUAAUUAAGUGCAAAAAUCCCUGACUGCUGUAAAAGAAUCUAAAUGAUUUUGAUCCUUUUUAUCUCUCCAACACAAUAUUUCAAUCAACUGUGCACUUGCAAUACUGUUUUUGUUUUGCGCUUUACGUUUCUGCGCGUGUAGCUUUGUGAGACUGUCUUGACUUGUUGGCGGAGUCAAAGUAUUGGGGUCUAAAAAACAGGGCUGGCUCCCUUGACAUUGCAUCAUCAGCUGACUGUCGCAGACUGCAUUAGAGGAUGUUCAAGAUACAUGAACACAGGCUGGAUCUCCGGAGCAAUGAAGCAUCUGCAUGUGAAAGCGACAGAGGGCACACUUAGCUUGGCUUCAGAGUUUGAACUGGAAGAAAUUAAAUUAAACAUUCAAGGCUCAAUUGACACAGAUUGUCCUGCUUAAAAACUUUAUACUAAACGAUGUUGUGCUCUAGUUUAAAAAUAUGACACCACUGUAUUAUGUUAUUGAGAAGAUGAAAAGGUAUUGUCUUGUCAUGUUCAUGUUUUUUAUUUUGAAGUUCUAAGUUCUCAUGUUCAUGACUUUUAUUUUGAAAUUAUGUCUUGCCAUGUUGUCUAUUGUUUUCCUGUUCCCUAUGUGUCAUGUUCUCAUUGGUUUACUGUCUGUAUAUAUAGCCCUCAUGUUUCCAUUGUCCCUUGUUGGUUAUUGAAUGUAGUUGCUGUGUUUGUAUUGUUUCAUGUUCAUGCUCACGUUUAUGGAUAACAUCAUGUCAAGGAUUUCAUGGUUUAUGUUUGGAUCACUUUAAAUUUUUCUAUCUGCACUAAGAUCCAGUCUCAUCUCAUGUUUGGACAGCACAUUCCAGAUGAUCAAGGACUGUUUGUGUUUUGUGAUAGUUGUGAUCACACUGAUAGAAGGGUGGCCAUACUGAAGAUGUUAAAAUAAAACUUUUUAUUUAUUUACACAACUUAUAGUCUCUUUCUUUUUUGUGAGAAGAUUUGAAAAGCCUAAAUCCUUGAAUUUUAAUAAUAAUUCAAUGUGAAGCACACUAUUUCAAAUUUGGCUUACAAUCACUAGACUGACCUGGGCAGCAUACUGUACCUCCCAUUCACACCUGACCCAAAUGUCUGCCAUAAUGGAUCUAUUAUGAGUUUAGACUCUGUUUAAGUAUUAUUAUUAUUUACAGCAUCUACAAUAUUGUCAUAUUGUUAGAUUUUUUUUAAUAGUUCACAAAUGUAUGGGGAUCACUAUCAACCCACUGUGCCAGUUUAUGUUGUCUACCCAAAAUUAUUUGAUUCCCUCUAUGUAUCUCUAACAUUACCAGCUGUAAAUUUUUCCUUCACCUUCUUCUUGUAAUCUAGUUGCAUCUCCUUUAGCUUGCAUUUAACUUCUUUAUUUAGCUCUUUUACCUUAUCUCUCAAUUUCUUUUAAAAAGCUACUUUUUUCCCAAUUGGUGCUGCCAAAACAGAUACUUUGAGAUUAUCUAUUAACCCCUUAUUCCAUGACUGCACCUGCUGAACAACCGGUUUAAUCCUUUUUAACAUCUUUCCAUAACAAUAUGAUCCAAGCACCCUAGUGGUGGAUGUGACCUUGGUACAUAAGCACCAUCCACAUUAGCGUAACAUUGUCUAGUUUAUUCAGCCUUGUUCGGCAAGUUACAUUCUUUUCUAAGUUUGGCAGAAGCACAGAUAACUCACAGUUGUUAAAGUCUCUGAGGAGAAUCACUGGGUCACCUGCUGAGUUGCGCAACACCCUGUUAUAACUUGCAGCAAUGCCCUUGGCUGCAAAUUAAAAUUUUGGCCCAGAAACAAAAGUUAUUUGUCCAAACCCUUGAUGCAAGUAAUGUGAUCUAAAUAAAAAAAAAACAUAAGUUUCUUCCUUUUCCUCUUCACACAUAGUGUUUGUAAGAAACAAAUGAUUUCGAGAGUAACAGAUAAUUUCAUAUAAAGGACUUGAUGAAUCCUUCAUAUUGUAUCAGAUAGUAAAUCCUUGCGGCUUUAGGUCAUCUUGCUCACAUGUCCGUUGUUGCCAGAGCUUCCCAACUCUGCUUCAACUCUGGACUCACAUCUACAAUUGUAUUUUUUAAACCGAUUUUUUUAAACACUUCCCAUGAUGUUCAUCUGAUUUUCACAAGAGAACGUGAAAGCGAUGUAAUCACCAAUGUAUGGGUAACCCAUACUUGGAAUGUGACCUAUGCAUUUAACCCAUCUAGUGAGGAGUAGACACACCCACUGCAAGUUGUGAACACACACAAAGCAGUGGGCAGUUAUUACUGCAGUGCCCAGUUAACAAUGGGGUGACUUGCUAAAGGGGAAGUCUGUAGUGUGAUAGCCAUAGUAACUUAUGCUACAUGACUAACCUGCUCCGGGGCAGGUUAUUUUCUGGGUCAGAGAUCACACAAUGAAAUUCAUCCAUUUAGCUGUGAACAAAGUGACAUUUCAGUCACAGUUUGCGUUGCAAUGUUUUUUUUCUCACUUUGUGUACAUUUAUGCGCAACAUAUUAGGAAAAUUACACAUUGUUUUGUUACAGUAAAUGUAUAGUAAGCAUGAUCUUUCGUGAAUUGAUUACCACAACGUGUUACAAUAUGUUUACUAGAAAAUGUAGGGCCGUGCUACCUAUAGGCAGAGUAGGCAAUUGACUAGGAUCCUUACAUCCCUGUACGCUAGCGGCUAGACCACCAACCACGCUGACAGCAAUACACUAAGUUCUCACAAUAGACUAAUGUGCUAAUGUGGUUCAGAUGUACUAAAGCCAAUCAAUAUCACUCUUUCAAAAGGAGCCUCCUCUCUGGAUGUAAGAGAUAGAUCAUAAGUCUUUCACCUACAGUACUAACCUUUCUGGGGCAUAGGCUGCCGACAAGGGUCAUUCAAGCAUCUCUGUCUUAUGUCAGUCUCUCAAACUGCCCCCAGGUGUAGCCCUCCCUCGCGCAGUCUGCAUCCAGGUUGUGGUGCCAGGUGUUACUCUGGAUGUAAGAGAUAGAUCAUAAGUCUUUCACCUACAGCACUACCCUUUCUGGGGCAUAGGCUGCCGACAAGGGUCAUUCAAGCAUCUCUGUCUUAUGUCAGUCUCUCAAACUGCCCCCAGGUGUAGCCCUCCCUCGCGCAGUCUGCAUCCAGGUUGUGGCGUCAGGUGUUACAUUUACAUUAAGUCAUUUAGCAGGUGCUUUUGUCCAAAGUGACUUACAAAUGAGGUAAACAAUAGAAGCAAUUAGAGCAACACAAGAACUGCAAUACAUAGGUGCACUUGAACAAGUCUAACACACUAUACAUAGUCAAGGGUUAGUUAUAUUUGUUUUUUUACAGAAAAUGUACAGAUAAAGAUAAUAAUAAUUUACAGCACUUAAAGCGCUUUACAUAUGAAAGAGGGAUUCUCUUCAACCACCACCAAUGUGCAGCAUCCACCGGAUGAUGUGACGGCAGCCAUAUUGCGCCAGAACACUCACCACACACCAGCUUAUUAGUGGAGAGGAGACAGAGUGAUAUAGUCAAUUAGUAUGAGGGGAUGAUUAGUAGGCCAACAGGUAUGUUUGGCCAGGAUACACCCCAACUUUUUUUUGAAGGACAUUCUGGGAUUUUUAACAACCACAGAGAGUCAGGACCUCAGUGUAACAUCUCAUCCAAAGGACGGUGCUUUUUGUGACAGUAUUGUGUCCCCUUCACUAUACACAUAUUAUAGUGGUGUAUACACAUAAAUACACCGAGGCGGUGACAUUAAUAUGCUCCUACAUAGACGAGAGUUAUUUUGGAUUUUUACUCUGCAAACAUUAUCGCUUUUAAAUAGGGAUGGGAAUCGAGAACCGGUUCUUCUUAAGAACCGGUGCCCAGUGAAUCGAUUCCUUUGAACCGUUAGCAUGCCUGCUUAACGAUUCCGCUUAUCGGUUCCGCUUGUUGCAAAUGUGUCAUGACGUCACACACACGCUGUGUUGUUUUGGUUUAGAACGCAGCAAACAUUGCAUCGAGGCAGAACGAUCCAAAGUUUGGUUAUAAUUAGUGGUGGGCAGAGCGAGGCUUCGUGAAACACUGAAACAGUUGAUUCAAUAACUUGUAUUUUCGCAAAAAUACGACAAUACGGUCGCGUUGCAGGAGGUUGCAGGACUGUCGCGUGUUUGAUACACUACUAGUGAGUCAAGCACCAGCGGAGCUAACGGGACGCCAUCUGUUAUUAAUGCCGAAGGUAAUGUGUUAAUGUUAAUGUGAGCGCCAUUUCAUUGUGUAAACUUUUACUAUACGGAUAAUCUUCGUUGUCAUUGUCCAUCAAAUUUAGUCUGGCUGGCUCUAAGGGGCUGUCCACACGGAGACGCGUAUCACUGUAUACGUAUAAAUUUGUUAUCGUAUUGGCAUUUCAUCCACACGGAUCCGGCGUUUUGGGAGACUGAAUCCACUAUUUUUUGAAACCGGGUCCUAAAGUGGAUAAAUCUGAAACCGACACCCUUGCGGUUUCGUCUGUACAGCCAAUCCGUAUAUUUUGUGAAGCGAAAACGUCAUCACAUCAUGUGUCGGAAGCGUCACACGUAACAGCAACAACAAUAACGGCGGACUACGUGAUUGUGUUCGUGCUACAGAAGCUACUAAAGCCUACUAGCUUUAUUACAGCAAAAUCUAUUGCUUCUAUGCAAUUGUGGUGACCAACAAGCGAUAAUGGACAACACCAUACGUUGGUUAUGCGCAUGCUCAAAGUCUUCUUCUCCGUGUAUAGUGUAUAUCUGUGGCAGAAUUACAGCGCCACAUACUGGUCCGGCAUAUAUACUACACCGCUUUCAGUCGGUUUCGUGUUUACGGAUUAUUUUUUUAAAGCAAGGAAAAAAAAUGAUCGGAUAGGGAAUGCACCGGCUUCGUGUGGACAUAGCCUAACACUGGCUCAGAGGCUGCAGAAAGUAUCUUGUGCACCUCUAGCUACUCCGUUUACAGAGGCAGGGAGGAAUAAAAUGACAGAGGCGAGGAUAAACAAAUUUCACCAAGCAGUAGAGGCGGACACUACUUUAGUAUUUCUACUAAAAAGUACAUUUUCAAGUAUUUGUAUUUUAUCAGUGUUUUUUUAUUUUUUGAAAACAUACAUUCCAAAGCAUAUUAUCAUGAUUUUAACUCCACUACAUUUCAUUAUUUCAAGUUUUUGGUUUAUAUUUAAUAUUUAAGUACAUUAAAAAUCUAGUAAUGUUUUUUUUUACUUUUACUUAAGUAAAAAGUACUUUUACACAAUUUUUAUGUAAUUAUGUAUUAAAUAAAUUUUUAUGUGCAAUAUUAAAGGAAUACACAGUAUGAUUCUAUGCUUUAGAAUGUAGUGAACAUUUUUAGUAAAGUAAUUUUUUCCCAAGACAACACUCUGAUAAAGCACAGAUGCUUGGAAAGUGAAACUUAAAUACUGAAGUAGUGUCCACCUCUGCCGAGCAGUGACUAAGUUUAUGGUAAAGGGUUUGCAUCUGUUUGGCACAUAGAUGCCUAUGCAUUUCAGUAGGUUAAUUUGCUGUAUUUGUUGUAUUUUGUCCAGCAUCAUGUCUUUUCAAAAGAAAAUAACAAAUGCAUGCAUGACCAAAAGUUGCAUAUUUUAUGUCAGUCUAGUUCUGUUUUAUUUAUUCCUAGUCCUAUCACAUAUUUACUGGUUGAUAAACACUGCCCUAGGCUAUAAGUCCCUGGACUUUACUUUAAGUAGAUCGCCUACUUUUAAUUUUGUUCUGAGGUUGCUACACAUAAUUUGUGUAUACUCUGUUCUGUGUCUUCUGAACAUAUAUUAAAGCGAGUUAAUACAAACAUUCAAAUUUGUACUUAUUCCCUCACCCAAUGAGAAUCAAUAAGGAAUCGGAUCGAUAAGCAACAUCGAUAAUGGAAUCGGAAUCGUUAAAUUCUUAUCAAUUCCCAUCCCUACUCUUUAAUGACGAAGCCCUAUUUAAUGUGAUGUUAUAAUAUGUCAAUUGUUGCUUUUAAUUGUGGAUGUAAUUGUGCUUUGUGUCACUGAUCACUCAUUCAGUAUUUACUAUGUCUGACGCUUUCUCAUUGUCGUCAUAGACUGUUUUUUUUUCUUGUGUUGUAUAAUAUUGAGGUUGUUAAUAUGUGACAAAAAAAAUUGUGUAUUCAAAUGUGAUUGGUCAUUGAAGGUCCGACACUGUGAUUGGCCUGUGAUUAUUGUUACAUGUGAUUGGUCAAUGGACUGUUUUUAAAUAAAUCCAUGUAUGUAUGCCUGAUGAAGAUCUUGUGAUCGAAACAUCGCUGUAAUAAAUAUUUUCAUCUUUUGCAAGCUAAUAGUGUGCGGGAUACCUUUCAUUAUCUAUGCAUGCUAUUUAAUUCGAAAUGGCGGACAGGAAGUAGGUUUGACAUUUUUGGUACCA